Molecule: ribosomal RNA, 484 nt
Filed under: uncultured bacterium
Lineage: Bacteria
Description: partial 16S ribosomal RNA
Rfam family: Bacterial small subunit ribosomal RNA
Source: RNAcentral
AGUGAACGCUGGCGGCGUGCUUAACACAUGCAAGUCGAACGAGAACGGGAUAUAGCUGGCUAUAUUUGUCAGCUAAGUGGCGCACGGGUGAGUAAUGUAUAGAUAACCUGCCCUCUAGAAAGGAAUAACAGUUGGAAACGACUGGUAAUGCCCUAUAUGCCUUUAAUACAUAAGUAUGCAAGGGAAACGCUUUAGUGCUAGAGGAUGGGUCUGUAUGGUAUCAGCUUGUUGGUGAGGUAAUGGCUCACCAAGGCUAUGAGGCCUAACUGGUUUGAGAGGUUGAUCAGUCACAAUGGAACUGAGAAACGGUACAGACGCCUACGAGAGGCAGCAGUGGGGAAUAUUGCACAAUGGACGAAAGUCUGAUGCAGCAACGCCGCGUGGAGGAUGACACAUUUCGGUGCGUAAACUCCUUUUAUAUAGGAAGAUAAUGACGGUACUAUAUGAAUAAGCACCGGCUAACUCCAUGCCAGCAGCCGCAUAA